Molecule: long non-coding RNA, 2286 nt
Organism: Lagenorhynchus albirostris (white-beaked dolphin)
Lineage: Eukaryota; Metazoa; Chordata; Mammalia; Artiodactyla; Delphinidae
Exons: 3
Source: RefSeq, a predicted model, not a curated record
GCAGAGAAGAGAAGGGCAAGGAAUGGUAGAAACAGUCAGAAAUGAGAAGAGAGGAACCAGAGGGUAAGGACAGGCUAAAAGUAAGAAAGAGGGGAGUCAAAAAGGGCACAGAGAGGAAAGGUCCAAGCAGGACCGAAAGUCGAGGAGAGCCCGAGAGCGUCAGCGUUUGGAGAAGGAGCUGGAGAAGGAGCGCCCCAACUCGCCUCCCCGGACGGAGCUGGAGCCCCGGCGGCAGAAGCCAGGGAAGGGCGCCCGAGGCUGCGCCCGGCGGGCGGAGGUGGAGCGGGUGGGCCGAGCUCCCCGCGGGCCGCAGCUUCAGCGCGCGGCCGCCAGAGGGCGACCGGGCCAAGGCCCGAAGGGCCAACUUUAAUCCGGCUGCGCGUUGGAUGCGGACUGGCCCGGCAGCGACAAAUGUGGGGAGAAGGACCAGACAGGUCCUGGAGGAGUGAACAGCGAGAGAGGAGAAAGGCAGGCGUGGACAAGCGCUGGAAGGCAGCACUCAAAAGAAACCCAGGGAAGCUGGUAUUUACAACUUUUUAUCAAGUCCCUGUUCCCAACGCCGGCAUGCGGUUUAGUAGGUGUUCUGCAGACACUAGGUGCAUUGAAACAAAACAACAAAAUAAUCUUCCUCAGAAUUCCUUGAGACUUACCAUUUAAAUAAUCUAUUUCUUUGGACCACACAGGAUCCUGGUGAGGGGUCCUGGAAGGGCAAGGAUUCAUAUCCCAGUUCCUUAGACCAUAAGAAUUGAAAGAGCCCUUAAAACCAGCUUCCUUCUGUUCUGGAGAGGCAAGUGAAACUUACAGAAGACCAAGAGGCAAGAUCCAAGCUUCUGGACCGUUUCCCGCCAAUGGGGAAACUGAGUCAUGGGCACCACCGCUUACUUGUGUUGCGAAGAGUUCACUGACUCUUCCUAUACUGAUGUUAGAGACUGAAGGAUGAACGAGGUAGGAUUGCAGCAGACGGAGCAACUGGAGAAUGGCCACUGGAGAAGCUGGGCAAGGAUGACCAGCUGGGCUGCAGGGGCUGAAAGGCUUCCAGAGCCUGCAACCUGGGUCUUUGAGGGGAACACGGAAGGAAAGGAGAGGAUACCAGAGACUUUCAGGCUGACCCUGAGAUUGCCAUUUCUGCAGGUCAGAAAUAAUGACUGUGCGCAGUUUCAUCUGGUUCCACCUGCUGGGUGUCCGCGCCACCUCGACUCUUUGCUAUGCACACUUCUGGUGACAGAUGCAGAUCAGGCCAGUGGGCCCAGAUGGUGCAAGAGGACAGUGCGGCUCCGUGCUUCCAACACACAGCGCUCUGAGAACUGCAGCUGUGACCAAAGAGAAGUCCUUUAAAGAGCCUCCACUCCUCAAGGCUCCAAAACUCCCUACAGAGCCACCACUCCCCAUGAUGAGGACGAGGUGAAAAGCUUGGGAGGUGGGAGGAGAAUUUAACUCCACUGAGAGGGAGUGUAAUGGUCUUCAUGGGGAACUAGAACAUAAGGGAGACAGCGGGUAAGAAAGGACCUGAUCAAAUUAAAAACGAAUCCAUAUAAUUAAAGUGAUGGUGCACGUGACUAUGUGUAUGAUUUUUAAAAUGUUCCAGGCCUUUGUUCCUGAAGUUAUAAAUGUUUCAUCGACUAAAUUUCACAAGUGCCAGCUAUGACUUCCUCCUCCAUGGUCCUUUCCUAUGGCUGUGUGACCAGUGUCCAAACAGUUAACCUCUCUGUGCCUCUCUUGCUUCAUCCAGCUUCCUGUCCUCACUAUUUUUCUGAGUCAAUGUGUGCAAUAAUCCUUUAGAAUCUCCACCGGUAUGGUUACUGAUAUUGUUAAUGAGAUGCAAGAACAAACAGGUUUUUCCACUCAUGGGUACAUAAUACCCAAGAGAACCGAAAGCAUCCGUCCACACAAAAACUUGUACACAGAUGUUGAUAGAAGCACUAUUCAGAAUAGCUAAAGGGGACAGCCAACCCAAACGUCCAGCAGCUGAUGAAUGGAUAUAUAAAAUGUGGUAUAUUCAUAUGAUGGAAUACUAUUUGGCCAUGAAAAAUAAUGAAGUGCUGAUACAUGCCACAAUAUGGCUCAAUCUUGAAAAGAUUAUGCUAAAUAAAAGAAGCCAGUUACAAAAGGACAUAUAUAAUAUGAUUCCAUUUAUAGGAAAUGUCAAGAAUAGGCAAACGUAGAGAGGCAGACAGGCGGUCAGUGGUUGCUUAGGGCCAGGAGGCAUGGAGAGAUGGGGGACCGUGGCUAAAGGGGAUUGCAUUUUUUGGGUAAUAAUGAAAAUAUUCUAAAAUUGAUUGUGGUGAU